Molecule: ribosomal RNA, 216 nt
Filed under: uncultured Anaerolineaceae bacterium
Lineage: Bacteria; Bacillati; Chloroflexota; Anaerolineae; Anaerolineales; Anaerolineaceae
Description: partial 16S ribosomal RNA
Rfam family: Bacterial small subunit ribosomal RNA
Source: RNAcentral
GGAAGUGGGGAUGACGUCAAGUCAGCAUGGCCUUUAUAUCCUGGGGCUACACACACGCUACAAUGGAAGGGACAAUAGGUUGCGAAGCCGCGAGGCGGAGCCAAUCCAGCAAAACUUCCCUCAGUUCAGAUUGCAGGCUGCAACUCGCCUGCAUGAAGUUGGAGUUGCUAGUAAACGCAGGUCAGCCAUACUGCGUUGAAUACGUUCCCGGGGCUU